RNAcentral lists this long non-coding RNA (6312 nucleotides) under Volvox carteri. RNAcentral's name for it is "long non-coding RNA (VCAR_LNC000573)". Lineage: Eukaryota; Viridiplantae; Chlorophyta; Chlorophyceae; Chlamydomonadales; Volvocaceae. The record is from RNAcentral.
UCGACGCGGAUACUACCUGCUGUGACCGCCGUAUCAGAAGACACUUUUCCUGUACGGGCGGAACCAACAACAGCGAAGUUCAAAAAACCCGACUAGUAGCUAAAACUCAGCAUUCAUAGAGUUAAACGUCCCCGUCCGUGACUUGUACAUAACAAUCCAAGCAUCUCCUAAGCGUCUUUCUCCCCCUUCGUAAGGCCAUCGCGUCCACCAACGCACGUCUUACAUCCGUUGAAGCUGCGAUGAGUAAUAUGAACGCUGAAGUAAUUCAUGAACAUCCGCUGCGUUUGCCUAGCAGUGUCGUAAAGGAGGUCGCGUCGGCAUCAGGCCAUCAACGUUGCGCCCAGGACAACACUUGCUGCAGCCAAGAAACAGAAAGUAUAUCUCUAUUCGUUCAUCCCCUUGGUCUUAGGGUUGCCCCUAAGACGACGUAGAUACCACCUCCUGACACCGCCGUACCGGAAAGCACUUUUCCGGUACGGGCAGAGCCAGCAGCAUUCCAGGUUCAGAAUUGAACCCAAAGGCAGAAAUCACCAUUCUGAGAGUUGAACGUCGCCAUCCAUGAUUUAGACAUACCAUUCCAUGGCCUGUGCAUGCGCGUCCGUGUCCUUCACUACGUUGCCAUCACGUCCACCAACGCACACUUGACAUCCGUCCUGUCCAGAGCCGUCGUCGCGAGCUUCGACAACAUGAAUGUAAGCAACAUUCGGAACAUCCGUCCUGUUUGCAUGGGAUUGUUGUCCUCCCGCCGGCGGAGGGCCACUCAACGUAUUGCUUUAGAAUUCCUACCCAAGCCUAUAACACAAACAUAAUAACAUUGUCCUAGCAUUCCAUAGCCCUACUUGACUUGCCUACAAACGAGUUGCCCCGGUCGGACCCUCCAAGUCUAGCCCAGUAGCUUACUGUGGGCUGACGUUAGUGAACAUGGAAUGCAAGCUGUGUGUGUGCUCAUCCCCUUUGAAAAAGGUUUGACUACGACUUGACACACAGACUCCCUCCUGCAACAAAUGUACAUUUUCCGUACGAGCGUGACGAGCAACAUAAGAGAUCCAGAACCGACCACACCGGCAGAAUUCAUCGUUCAGUUCCUUAAACCUUCAUUUACGGUUUCCCUACAAACAGCUCCAUGCCUUGGAUAUGCGUCUGUUUUCUUCCUUACGAACAUCACAUUUUACGUUCGUCAGGGCCAGAGUCUUUGUGGCAAUCUUUCAUAUUCAGCACGCAAUGAACCCUUCAUGGACACCAGCUGCAUUAGCCUGGCUUGUCGUCCUUGCGGCAGCCUGGGCAAAUGGCCCAACGCGAUUUAAGUAUGCUGCUGCUUGCGGCCAAGAAACAAGCAUUCCAAAACUGUCAUAUCAUCCCCUGGUUUCGUUGUAUUUGGUUUGCAUACAAGUCGACGCGGAUACUACCUGCUGUGACCGCCGUAUCAGAAGACACUUUUCCUGUACGGGCGGAACCAACAACAGCGAAGUUCAAAAAACCCGACUAGUAGCUAAAAGUCAGCAUUCAUAGAGUUAAACGUCCCCGUCUGUGACUUGUACAUAACAAUCCAAGCAUCUCCUAAGCGUCUUUCUCCCCCUUCGUAAGGCCAUCGCGUCCACCAACGCACGUCUUACAUCCGCCCAGUACAGUGCCGUUGAAGCUGUGACGAGUAAUAUGAACGCUUAAGUAAUUCAUGAACAUCCGCUGCGUUUGCCUAGCAUUGUCGUAAAGGAGGUCGCGUCGGCAUCAGGCCAUCAACGUUGCGCCCAGGACAACACUUGCUGCAGCCAAGAAACAGAAAGUAUAUCUCUAUUCGUUCAUCCCCUUGGUCUUAGGGUUGCCCCUAAGACGACGUAGAUACCACCUCCUGACACCGCCGUACCGGAAAGCACUUUUCCGGUACGGGCAGAGCCAGCAGCAUUCCAGGUUCAGAAUUGAACCCAGAGGCAGAAAUCACCAUUCUGAGAGUUGAACGUCGCCAUCCAUGAUUUAGACAUACCAUUCCAUGGCCUGUGCAUGCGCGUCCGUGUCCUUCACUACAUUGCUGCUUGCGGCCAAGAAACAAGUGAUGCAAAACGUUGCCUCAUGUCCAUCCGUCCGGUCCACACACGUAAGAGCAAUUUUCCAUAACACGGAUGUAAGCACCGUUCGGGAUGUCCGUCGUGUUUGCCUCAGGAAGUCGUCCUCCCGGCGGCGGAUCGGACCCUAAGCACCGGCCGGUACCAGCUGGUACCAGCUCCUGGAGCCGCUUAAUCGAUGCUGAUCGUGAUGUGUAAUUGGUCCAGCAUAAAGCACAUUCUUCAUCAUCCGGAAGGGAUCCCUUAGCCGUAGUACAUGUAAAGGAUGCGCAGGACAAGCAGUGUAAGAGGUACUCGGAAAAGAACGCAAAAAAGACUGUUCCGUCCAAAUAGCUAACAAGCUGUACCUUGGCGGAUUGCAGGGCGCUUCUAACAUACAUGCCAUCCUUUGGAAGUCAUGUUGUAGGCUUGUCCUGUUUGGUUUAUGUUGGCAUUGCAUUAAGAAGUUCAACGUGAUACCUGCAGGUUAACUGUUUACUGAUAACUACUUAUUCGGCGGCGUGCGCAUAUCAUUCCCUUACUUCGCCGGCAGGUCCAUGGAAAGUCCCCGAAAAGAUUACAUAACGUUGCAAAACUCCUUUCAGUGCUUUCGGAAAAGAGGUCCUAGAUCUUGAGACCCUGGUAAGCCAGAAAUCGCUGACGGCUAGCGCUGUAAGCGUACCUUUUCCAUCUCCUGUAUUUUCAAAGCAUACACACGCGCGAUACUUAAGAAUACGAAAAUUUUAAACAGUUUAACAGUUCAUGUGGAAGCGUUUGCGGUGCAACUGGCGCGAACAGGACACCAGAGGUCACAGGAAUUACAGCUCUUAUGACUACUAGCAGUAUGUGUGCGUGGUUGUUACAGCAGUAGAUCUUAGGGACGAGGGGUACCUGACGGCAAUGCAUGGGCUCCAUCGAUGCAUGUGCCUCGGCAUGAAGGGUGAAUACAAUACGUUUCAUAUGCACAGACCUCAUAGUUUGCAGCAUUUAAGGGAGGUCAAAUNNNNNNNNNNNNNNNNNNNNNNNNNNNNNNNNNNNNNNNNNNNNNNNNNNUUGCCUAGCAGUGUCGUAAAGGAGGUCGCGUCGGCAUCAGCCCAUCAACGUUGCGCCCAGGACAACACUUGCUGCAGCCAAGAAACAGAAAGUGUAUAUGUAUUCGUUCAUCCCCUUGGUCUUAGGGUUGCCCCUCAGACGACGUAGAUACCACCUCCUGGCACCGCCGUACCGGAAAGCACUUUUCCGGUACGGGCAGAGCCAGCAGCAUUCCAGGUUCAGAAUUGAACCCAAAGGCAGAAAUCACCAUUCUGAGAGUUGAACGUCGCCAUCCAUGAUUUAGACAUACCAUUCCAUGGCCUGUGCAUGCGCGUCCGUGUCCUUCACUACGUUGCCAUCACGUCCACCAACGCACACUUGACAUCCGUCCUGUCCGGAGCCGUCGUCGCGAGCUUCGACAACAUGAAUGUAAGCAACAUUCGGAACAUCCGUCCUGUUUGCAUGGGAUUGUCGUCCUCCCGCCGGCGGAAAAGCCACUCAACGUAUUGCUUAAGAAUUCCUACCCAAGCCUAUAACACAAACAUAAUAACAUUGUCCUAGCAUUCCAUAGCCCUACUUGACUUGCCUACAAGUCCACAGCAACGAGUUGCCCCGGUCGGACCCUCCAAGUCUAGCCCAGUAGCUUACUGUGGGCUGACGUUAGUGAACAUGGAAUGCAAGCUGUGUGUGUGCUCAUCCCCUUUGAAAAAGGUUCGACUACGACUUGACACACAGACUCCCUCCUGCAACAAAUGCCCAUUUUCUGUACGAGCGUGACGAGCAACAUAAGAGAUCCAGAACCGACCACACCGGCAGAAUUCAUCGUUCAGUUCCUUAAACCUUCAUUUACGGUUUCCCUACAAACAGCUCCAUGCCUUGGAUAUGCGUCUGUUUUCUUCCUUACGAACAUCACAUUUUACGUUCGUCAGGGCAGAGUCUUUGUAGCAAUCUUUCAUAUUCAGCACGCAAUGAACCCUUCAUGGACACCAGCUGCAUUAGCCUGGCUUGUCGUCCUUGCGGCAGCCUGGGCAAAUGGCCCAACGCGAUUUAAGUAUGCUGCUGCUUGCGGCCAAGAAACAAGCAUUCCAAAACUGUCAUAUCAUCCCCUGGUUUCGUUGUAUUUGGUUUGCAUACAAGUCGACGCGGAUACUACCUGCUGUGACCGCCGUAUCAGAAGACACUUUUCCUGUACGGGCGGAACCAACAACAGCGAAGUUCAAAAAACCCGACUAGUAGCUAAAAGUCAGCAUUCAUAGAGUUAAACGUCCCCGUCUGUGACUUGUACAUAACAAUCCAAGCAUCUCCUAAGCGUCUUUCUCCCCCUUCGUAAGGCCAUCGCGUCCACCAACGCACGUCUUACAUCCGCCCAGUACAGUGCCGUUGAAGCUGUGACGAGUAAUAUGAACGCUUAAGUAAUUCAUGAACAUCCGCUGCGUUUGCCUAGCAUUGUCGUAAAGGAGGUCGCGUCGGCAUCAGGCCAUCAACGUUGCGCCCAGGACAACACUUGCUGCAGCCAAGAAACAGAAANNNNNNNNNNNNNNNNNNNNNNNNNNNNNNNNNNNNNNNNNNNNNNNNNNGUUUAAGAUUUUGUUCCGUGGCAGUCCAACAACACGUCUACAUGCUAUUCUUCUGAAGCUGGAUGUGUUACGACCUUCGUAGCACUUAGGGCGCCUGCCGGUGAACGAGGAAUGUUUGCGAAAUUUUGCGAAGCUACGCAGGCGACGGGCGGGCCCCGCACUGGGUACGGAUGGAGCACUGGAAGUCCAGCCAUGAAAUACCAACAGGAUAGCUUUUCGAGAUUUUUCUUUUUAACAAAUUCUAUUACACAGAACAAAUGAUGCGGAUACAUGCCGCAUAAUCCAUGGGAUGCCAUAAGCAGGUCUCCGAUCAUUACCCUGCUGGCAAGAAGUCACCUUUCAUAUUACACGAAUAUUAUGUACAAAUAUAGGAUUGAAGUGCACUGCAGAAGGGCAGCAGAGUUUAUUUGACAUGUUGCACAUGCAAUGUCAUCUGGGCCAGAGGCAUUACAGCAAAGAUUUGGCAUAAUGGUCUGUGUUUGCAAAAUGGUUAUGCAAGCAUAGAAAGCAUUAUUGCUAAUAGGGUGAGCCGUAUCAGAUCUAAGUACGUUCCCCGAACAAACGGGAUGCGCAAUCGACGUUAGACUUUCAGAACCGAGCGAAAAGACAGAAAUCCCUGCUCCGAAUAUUAACGCUUACAGUCCAUCAUCCUUACUUAGCGUUCCAUGCACCGCGGAGCUAACUCUUCAUCCGUUUCCUUCCUUACAAUGCACAUCCGUCAGGGCCAGAGUCUUUGUGGCAAUCUUUCAUAUUCAGCACGCAAUGAACCCUUCAUGGACACCAGCUGCAUUAGCCUGGCUUGUCGUCCUUGCGGCAGCCUGGGCAAAUGGCCCAACGCGAUUUAAGUAUGCUGCUGCUUGCGGCCAAGAAACAAGCAUUUCCAAAACUGUCAUUUAAUCCCCUGGUUUCGUUGUAUUUGGUUUGCAUACAAGUCGACGCGGAUACUACCUGCUGUGACCGCCGUAUCAGAAGACACUUUUCCUGUACGGGCGGAACCAACAACAGCGAAGUUCAAAAAACCCGACUAGUAGCUAAAAGUCAGCAUUCAUAGAGUUAAACGUCCCCGUCCGUGACUUGUACAUAACAAUCCAAGCAUCUCCUAAGCGUCUUUCUCCCCCUUCGUAAGGCCAUCGCGUCCACCAACGCACGUCUUACAUCCGCCCAGUACAGUGCCGUUGAAGCUGCGACGAGUAAUAUGAACGCUUAAGUAAUUCAUGAACAUCCGCUGCGUUUGCCUAGCAGUGUCGUAAAGGAGGUCGCGUCGGCAUCAGGCCAUCAACGUUGCGCCCAGGACAACACUUGCUGCAGCCAAGAAACCCUAAGUAUAUCUCUAUGCGUUCAUCCCCUUAGUCUUAGGGUUGCCCCUAAGACGACGUAGAUACCACCUCCUGACACCGCCGUACCGGAAAGCACUUUUCCGGUACGGGCAGAGCCAGCAGCAUUCCAGGUUCAGAAUUGAACCCAAAGGCAGAAAUCACCAUUCUGAGAGUUGAACGUCGCCAUCCAUGAUUUAGACAUACCAUUCCAUGGCCUGUGCAUGCGCGUCCGUGUCCUUCACUACGUUGCCAUCACGUCCACCAACGCACACUUGACAUCCGUCCUGUCCAGAGCCGUCGUCGCGAGCUUCGACAACAUGAAUGUAAGCAACAUUCGGAACAUCCGUCCUG